GUGCCCACUUCGGCAUAACACGUACUAAAACCUGAAGGAUACAGAGCAGAUUAGCAUGGCCCCUGUGCAAGGAUGACACGCAAAUUCGUGAAGCAUUCCAUUUUUUU
Molecule: small nuclear RNA, 107 nt
Filed under: Myotis davidii
Lineage: Eukaryota; Metazoa; Chordata; Mammalia; Chiroptera; Vespertilionidae
Source: RNAcentral